UACGGGGGGGGCAAGCGUUGUUCGGAAUUACUGGGCGUAAAGGGUUCGUAGGUGGCCAACUAAGUCAGACGUGAAAUCCCUCGGCUUAACCGGGGAACUGCGUCUGAUACUGGAUGGCUUGAAUUCGGGAGAGGGAUGCAGAAUUCCAGGUGUAGCGGUGAAAUGCGUAGAUAUCUGGAGGAAUACCGGUGGCGAAGGCGGCAUCCUGGACCGACAUUGACGCUGAGGAGCGAAAGCUAGGGGAGCAAACGGG
This 253-nucleotide ribosomal RNA is filed under the name uncultured bacterium. RNAcentral describes it as "partial 16S ribosomal RNA". It matches the Rfam family "Bacterial small subunit ribosomal RNA", at positions 524 to 776 of the family's 1533-position model. The record is from RNAcentral.